Molecule: non-coding RNA, 1446 nt
Organism: Danio rerio (zebrafish)
Lineage: Eukaryota; Metazoa; Chordata; Actinopteri; Cypriniformes; Danionidae
Source: RefSeq, a predicted model, not a curated record
GAAUAAAAUCAUUAGGUGACAUGGUGGCUCAGUGGGUAGCACUGUCUCUUCACAGCAAGGAGAUCACUGCUUCGAGUCUUGGCUGGGCCAGUUGGCAUUUCUGUGUGAAGUUUGCAUGUUCUCCCUGUGUUGGUGUGGGUUUCUCCGGGUGCUCCGGUUUCCCCACAGUCCAAAUAUAUGUGCUAUAGGCGAAUUGAAAAACUUAAAUUGGCCGUAGCGAUGUGUGAAUAAGCGUAAAAGCAUCUUAAAUUUAGUGUCAAAUAAUAGAAACGAUGAAUUAACAUUAAAUUGAAAAAGUCAAUCUACUCGACAUGGUUUUCACGAAACAUCAAUCUGUGUUUGGUCCUUAAAUUACCACAGCUCUGUUUUGCUCUUGAUGUGUAGAUUUCAUAGAAAGGUGAAACUAUUUCUCUUUCAGACCUUCAUCCCCCAUGUGUCGUCACCGAGCUGCCAGGAGGCCGAUAGCCAACUGCUAACGUUUGAUUGAAUUAUCCCUCAACAUGAUGUGGCAGUAAACUGUUAUUCCUCCAUCUUACCAGCCCUCCACCGUCUCGCCCCUGAGCGACGACUUUCAUCCUCUCUCAUUUCUCUGCUGUCAUACACACACUAGCACUCGUCUGCUACUGCGACGGUUUCGGCCUUUUGCUCAUUUAUGGCUCUGUAUUCCCGACAGGCUGUCUGAUUCCUGAGGGGAGGCCCAUGGUCGAAUUUACAGCUAUAUAUAAAUAUAUAUGAGCGUGUGGUUCUCUCAGAUUGAAAACAUAUACCUGUGACGAUUGCCUGCUAUGAAGUUCAUUCCAGGGCUAAUGCUGUUUUUCCUCCCCAUCUCGUCGGUUCUUUCAAAGAAAACGCAUCCUAUUUUAGGGCAUGAGAGAUAUAUGGUGAAGAGCGGGGUAAAUAUUUGAGAGUUAUAGCAGGCUCCGUUUCACAGAUUAAUUCAGUUGGUUUUCUUCACCGGCCAGUGUGGAGUGGAUUCACAGCUGGUAGGUUUAUUUUAGUUCAAGACUAGUGGUUUGAGCUUUUGAGGAUGCUUUUUCACUUCUGUUUUUUUGUUGCAGAUGCAGUUCUGGAAACUAAGAAUGUUCAUUGACCAAUUUCUUCAGAGACGAGUUUCAAGGAGAAUUCAUUAUCAGUUCCAGGCCCUCAACAGGAACUCCAGAAUCCCUUUAUACAUCCGUGUUUGAGUUGGAGAAACUGCUUUAUCAUCCACCAAACAGCCACCAGUCAAGCCUGCACCAUUAUGAAAGUCCACUUGCACUAUAAGACUCAAACCUCUUCAGCUUGAUCAACUCCUCUGCAAGUCUACUGACGUAUAUUGCGAGCUACUGGGCAAACUGGGAACAGCAGAAAAGCUGUCCUCACAGAGGUAAGCGGUCAGCUGGUAGCAUGUCAAGAAAUAAAAGGCGUCGUUAGCAUCAUGCCCCUUUUGUUGCGUUCAUUUAAAAG